GACGAACGCUGGCGGCGUGCUUAACACAUGCAAGUCGAACGGAAAGGCCCUGCUUUUGUGGGGUGCUCGAGUGGCGAACGGGUGAGUAACACGUGAGUAACCUGCCCUUGACUUUGGGAUAACUUCAGGAAACUGGGGCUAAUACCGGAUAGGAGCUCCUGCUGCAUGGUGGGGGUUGGAAAGUUUCGGCGGUUGGGGAUGGACUCGCGGCUUAUCAGCUUGUUGGUGGGGUAGUGGCUUACCAAGGCUUUGACGGGUAGCCGGCCUGAGAGGGUUACCGGCCACAUUGGGACUGAGAGACGGCCCAGACUCCUACGGGAGGCAGCAGUGGGGAAUAUUGCACAAUGGGCGGAAGCCUGAUGCAGCAACGCCGCGUGCGGGAUGACGGCCUUCGGGUUGUAAACCGCUUUCGCCUGUGACGAAGCGUGAGUGACGGUAAUGGGUAAAGAAGCACCGGCUAACUACGUG
Molecule: ribosomal RNA, 468 nt
Filed under: uncultured bacterium
Lineage: Bacteria
Description: partial 16S ribosomal RNA
Rfam family: Bacterial small subunit ribosomal RNA
Source: RNAcentral